AUACGAAAGGUGCAAGCGUUGUUGGGAUUUACUGGGCGUAAAGAGAGUGUAGGUUGUUUAUUAAGUCGGAUGUGAAAUCCCGGGGCUCAACCUCGGAACUGCAUUCGAUACUGGUAGACUAGAGUUCGGGAGGGGUAAGCGGAAUUCCGUGUGGAGCCGUGAAAUGCGUAGAUAUACGGAGGAACACCUGAGGCGAAGGCGGCUUACUGGACCGAUACUGACACUGAGACUCGAAAGCGUGGGUAGCAAACAGGAUUAGAAACCCCGGUAGUCC
RNAcentral lists this ribosomal RNA (274 nucleotides) under uncultured bacterium. RNAcentral describes it as "partial 16S ribosomal RNA". It matches the Rfam family "Bacterial small subunit ribosomal RNA", at positions 523 to 796 of the family's 1533-position model. The record is from RNAcentral.